CCAUGUCCAAAUAAUGUUGAAUGUGCACUCUUAAAAAUGUAAUUCCACAGAAGGGCCUACAUGUAAAACAGGCUACAACACGCAGCUCACAAAACAAAAAGAACUAAAGCUUUAAAGACAUCUGUAACAGUCUGCGCUACAGUUUACAUAUUAAUCCUUCCUGAUAAAAGUACAUAUUCAGGUAGCUAAAAAUUUGUAAUGCUGGCAGCAUAAAGUUACCUAUCUUUUCAUGUACCUGUAAAAUAUACCACACGGAUGCAAACAACCUUAAAUAUUCACUUGUACUGUCAAGAGGGAAAAUCCCAUUAAAAAAUGAUCUAUGAUUGAUAUUUUCAGCAGAGCAUCUGGGAUUUGUGACGGGUUUCCUUUGUGACAAGUUUUGGGGGUUCAGAGAGUUAAGGAUGUGGGUCACAGGCCAGAGCUGCUCUAUAGCGCUGUACACCUGGAGCAGCAAGGACUCAGGCUCCUGUGCGCUAAUGACAGGGAGGACACUCCACAACACGGCCCUUUAUUCCUUCGCACCUGGGCGUUCACUGGCAGCUUACCUGAUUUAGCUUUCCGCACGAUUCACAUGCAAAUCGAAAGCCCAGCCUGAACAAAGGCAAAGACAAACAGGCAAUAACGCCGAUGUUAAAGCUGGCCGAAUGCUUCACUUUGAAGUCUCUGCCCCCGAUUCCUGCCCAAGUGCUCUCGGCAAAGCUACCGUUUCCAAAUCAUGGAGAGAGCGUGACACAUUCGUUUCAACUUCAAAGGCUGGUUUCCCUCAGUGAGUGUCACACUCCCAAAUUAAUCACGUUUCCAGACCGUUUCCACAGGAAGUUGCACUGCCAUGCUAGUUAACUCGAGGCAAAUCACAUAUACAUCAGAAAGGAUCUCUUGGAGACCUGAGAAGCACUUCCAUGUCUCUAAAUAAGCCCGGCCUGCCGUCAGUCUGAGAUUCCCUGAAUUCCACUUACCCUCAUUACAGGUGGAAAUACAUUUCAGCUAUUUAAGGAAACAUGAAAUGCACAGAUAUUCUUUAUACCAGGUGUCCCCAUGUCUGGUUUUCAAAUCUAAUUGGUUUUCUGGGUCUCUAUUUUUCUUGGUUGUAUCUAGUCAUCAUCUCCAGAACUUAGACUUUAGAUCACUGGUUUGGUUUUUCCACAGCCAGUGCCCCAGUAUAGUAAAACUAAGGUCCUGAUUACUUGGUCACUGUUUGUCAGGGCGGGGGUGUUAAUCUCAAUGUUCUGGAUACAUUUCACUCUGGGGUUGGGAAAUGUGACUCCCUAAAGUUCCCUCUUAUUUAACAGGUGAAAUACAGUAAUUCUCCACCUGAUUUGAAAAGCAGUGGGACUACUGCCUCGCAUCAGCUACUGUAGAGCCCACAAAAAGUCACAGAAGGGAAACAUCACACCAGCAAAAGAGGAAAUGCCCUCCAGCCACGAAAAAGAAGAAACUAAGGGCAAUUUGUCAAGAUUCGAUAUUUACUUCCAUCAGCUCCAUCGUCAUGAAGGAACCCACAGAUUACUCUUUGUACAAAGAACUCUUUUCUUGCUGUGGUGUUUAUGAAAAUAAAUGGGGA
Molecule: long non-coding RNA, 1561 nt
Organism: Lepisosteus oculatus (spotted gar)
Lineage: Eukaryota; Metazoa; Chordata; Actinopteri; Semionotiformes; Lepisosteidae
Source: RefSeq, a predicted model, not a curated record